RNAcentral lists this ribosomal RNA (450 nucleotides) under Triticum aestivum (bread wheat). RNAcentral describes it as "partial small subunit ribosomal RNA". Lineage: Eukaryota; Viridiplantae; Streptophyta; Magnoliopsida; Poales; Poaceae. The record is from RNAcentral.
AUGUGCUGUGUUUUUCCGUGGAAUGUUGGAAUCGCCAUGAAGUAUGAAUUGAGGAUAUUAUUCCGAAGUCACAUGAGAAUAUAUUUUAAGGCCAAGGUUAAAGGAGAAGGACAAACUUGCAGAUAUCUUCCCAUCUUAUAUGCACAUGUGCUAAUAUAUUCCUGCACAUAUCCAAGUAUAAGCCACCGGAUAUUAUUUCUUUACAGAUAUGCUAUGUGGACAAUGAGCCCGUUGGCAUUGCUCGAUGUGAAAGUGGAUGGGUUAUGUAUGAUGCACGCAGAGAAAUCAACAGGUGUGAAGUGCCCUGGGAGGAUUUGUUUGCUAUGUGCAGGGACUGCACUCCAGCAAUUCUAUUUUACGAGGUCAUCAAAUAGAUUGACUGAGGUAGUCCAGGUUGCCCUAGACCUGUUCCUGGUUCGUGCGUUCUGUACUCCUUCACCUGAAGAUUGA